UGUAAAAAAGGCGAUGGGGCUCGCCAUAAUUGCUGAUACAUAAUUGCUCAGCUGAUAGCUCCUACCGGUGA
This 71-nucleotide non-coding RNA is filed under the name Thermincola carboxydiphila JR. Its description in RNAcentral is "Thermincola potens JR Fluoride riboswitch aptamer (crcB RNA motif)". It matches the Rfam family "Fluoride riboswitch aptamer (crcB RNA motif)". The record is from Rfam by way of RNAcentral. Lineage: Bacteria; Bacillati; Bacillota; Clostridia; Eubacteriales; Thermincolaceae. RNAcentral also lists the same sequence under 1 other name.